AUCGACGUAAUUUUAGAGAGAUAAGAAUUAGAGAAGAAGAGUAGAGAUUAGACCUACCGGACAUGAGAAUAGGAGAGAGGGAGCAAUGAAAAGGGAGAGUAAAGGUAGCAUUGGAGAGGGAAAGAUAGAGCUCCAUGCAAGAAAAGGAGUAAAGAUAGAGAGAGGUAUGGCAUGAUAGAGCGAUAACGAAAGAAUGAUGGCAAGAAAGAAAGUUAGCAUAAGGG
Molecule: long non-coding RNA, 224 nt
Filed under: Elaeis guineensis (African oil palm)
Lineage: Eukaryota; Viridiplantae; Streptophyta; Magnoliopsida; Arecales; Arecaceae
Description: long non-coding RNA (EGUI_LNC012833)
Source: RNAcentral